This 133-nucleotide non-coding RNA is filed under the name Arthrobacter sp. RNAcentral's name for it is "SAM-IV sequence". It matches the Rfam family "SAM (S-adenosyl methionine) riboswitch aptamer". From Rfam's summary of the family: SAM-IV is a mRNA element that regulates gene expression via direct sensing of S-adenosylmethionine (SAM or AdoMet). SAM-IV riboswitches share conserved nucleotide positions with the previously described SAM-I riboswitches sequence analysis and molecular recognition experiments suggest that SAM-I and SAM-IV riboswitches share similar ligand binding sites, but have different scaffolds. RNAcentral also lists the same sequence under 1 other name. Lineage: Bacteria; Bacillati; Actinomycetota; Actinomycetes; Micrococcales; Micrococcaceae. The record is from RNAcentral.
CUUCAUGAGUUGUGGUCGCCUGCCAAUAGGCAAAGCUCCGACUGACCACACGCCAACCCCAAGUUCACGGGUGGCUCGGAUGACGAAGCGACUCGGCGGGCCGCGAGACAAACCCGCAGGGUAAGAGCUCUCG